UUCCUUCGGGGGGCAGCAGUGGGGAAUAUUGGACAAAUGGGCGAAAGCCUGAUCCAGCCAUGCCGCGUGUGUGAAGAAGGUCUUCGGAUUGUAAAGCACUUUAAGUUGGGAGGAAGGGCAGUAAGUUAAUACCUUGCUGUUUUGACGUUACCAACAGAAUAAGCACCGGCUAAAUUCGUGCCAGCAGCCGCGGUAAUACGAAGGGUGCAAGCGUUAAUCGGAAUUACUGGGCGUAAAGCGCGCGUAGGUGGUUCAUCAAGUUGGAUGUGAAAUCCCCGGGCUCAACCUGGGAACUGCAUCCAAAACUAGUGAGCUAGAGUACGGUAGAGGGUGGUGGAAUUUCCUGUGUAGCGGUGAAAUGCGUAGAUAUAGGAAGGAACACCAGUGGCGAAGGCGACCACCUGGACUGUAUACUGACAUGAGUACGAAGUUGGCC
Molecule: ribosomal RNA, 436 nt
Filed under: Pseudomonas sp.
Lineage: Bacteria; Pseudomonadati; Pseudomonadota; Gammaproteobacteria; Pseudomonadales; Pseudomonadaceae
Description: bacterial SSU rRNA
Rfam family: Bacterial small subunit ribosomal RNA
Source: RNAcentral